RNAcentral lists this transfer RNA (71 nucleotides) under Camelus bactrianus (Bactrian camel). It matches the Rfam family "tRNA". From Rfam's summary of the family: Transfer RNA (tRNA) molecules are approximately 80 nucleotides in length. Their secondary structure includes four short double-helical elements and three loops (D, anti-codon, and T loops). RNAcentral also lists the same sequence under 1 other name. The record is from Rfam by way of RNAcentral. Lineage: Eukaryota; Metazoa; Chordata; Mammalia; Artiodactyla; Camelidae.
GAGGAUAUAGCUCAGUGGUAGAGGGUAUGCCGAGUGUGCACAGGGUCCUGGGUUCAAUUCCCAGUACCUCU